ACUAUCUGAGGGCAGGGUUUUUAUACACCCCAGAGGGACGGAGCCCUGACAUUGAGAACAAAGCACGUAUCAAGAAUCUGUUGUUCAGAGUGCCCACCAUGGGGCUGCUUGUUCCUGGUUUUGGGUUUAAGGCAAAGAAUUUCUACUUAUCUUGAUCAGUCAGGGACUUAGGCUGAUGAAGCAGCCAUCAUCUCAACAUCACCAAAGGAAAAGAAAGAUGAAUCUUACCCUAUGUCUAGAAUGGAUAGAGAGGAAAACAUGAUGACACUAAAAGCAUCAUUCAACUUCAAAUCAAAAUACUAUCUUUGCAAGAUAAAAUAAUGUUUACAAUUAUCUCAGUAAUAUUGUUACUGUAAAUUUUAAUUUUGCCAAUCCAUUUUCUACAUAGAUUAAAUAAAAAUAUUUUCCCUGAUUAUUGUUAGUAUUUUAUUACUUGGGGAAUUGUUUUAAUUGGGGGCCUUCAUUUUUCACCAUCAAUCAGCUCUUAAUAAUUAAAUAUAUCACUAUACAUUAUAAGCAGUAUUUGGAAAUGCACAAAGGAUUCUUAGUUCACAAGAAAUAGAAUAAUCGGAUUAUUUUUUGACUGCAAAC
Long non-coding RNA from Choloepus didactylus (southern two-toed sloth), 591 nucleotides. RefSeq lists it as uncharacterized. The record is from RefSeq and is a predicted model, not a curated record. Lineage: Eukaryota; Metazoa; Chordata; Mammalia; Pilosa; Megalonychidae. The transcript is spliced from 3 exons.